This 990-nucleotide long non-coding RNA is filed under the name Canis lupus familiaris (dog). RNAcentral's name for it is "lncRNA (ENSCAFG00000052012.1, ENSCAFG00845013934.1)". The record is from RNAcentral. Lineage: Eukaryota; Metazoa; Chordata; Mammalia; Carnivora; Canidae.
UUUAAUCAUGCUAUUAAUUAAUUCCAAACAGAUAAUGCAUAAGAUUACUCGACUUCAAAAAAAAAAAAAAAAAGAUUACUCGACUUCUGGAAUGACACAAGGCAUGGAAUAGUAAGCUAUGUUACGGUGAGACUCUCUUCUUCCUGGAUCUUGUGGAUCUGUUAUAUCAGAAGGUCAGUAGCAGUGCUAUUUCUAUUGGAGAAUUUUCAUUUAAACAGAUUAACAUAUUUGAAAAAUUUCUUUCAAUAAUGACACAAAACAUAAAUAUAAAAAUCUGUAUUUAUUAUAGGUAGCAUAAAACAUUUUUUUGCGUCAAUUAUUGUUGUGAUUUAGGCUGAAUAAUGCCAGCUAUUUUGCUACUGUGCUGAAGUCCUCUUUUUUGAGCCUACAAUGAACCUGUAAUACUUAUGGAAAGAGUUACCAUAGCAACCUAUAUUGAUGUCACAAGCUCAGGCUUCUGACUUCAUUGCAUAAUGCAGUAGCAACUGGAUUUGCAGCAGAAACACCCUGCUAAAGAACAAGUAUCUUGGUUCACAGCAAAGAGGACAAAGGAAAACAGCAAGUUAUAGGGAGUUGAAUGCUGGAUUGUCAUCAGAGCCUGUGUGGCACUGCCCACAAGUCCUUGGUGGGUUCUGGAGCUGUCCAAGGUUCCAAAGUUCCAGGGAGGGAGCCUGCAGCAGUCAGAGGGCUCUGGGCUCUGCUUCAACUCAGUACUGUGAGCCACAUAUCAAAGCUACCAUCGUCAGAAGAAUCAGCCUUUUGAUUUUUGAUUUGUCAUCGUCAUACAAGAUAGGCCCAUCUUAAAAGAAGGGAUGAUGCGAUUGGAUGGAAAUAUGCAGCAGGGCUUGGGUGUUGGCCAAGACUCCCCUAGCUUUGCCAUCCAUCCCAGAGAUGUCAUCACCUAAAUAAAUACCUUGUACACAGUCAAUAAAUAUUUGAUGUUUAUUUUGAAAAUUCCUGCUCUUAUUCACUUACAUUGCAGAAGCUUUG